Molecule: ribosomal RNA, 333 nt
Filed under: Pristimantis omeviridis
Lineage: Eukaryota; Metazoa; Chordata; Amphibia; Anura; Strabomantidae
Description: partial small subunit ribosomal RNA
Rfam family: Microsporidia small subunit ribosomal RNA
Source: RNAcentral
AUCCUUCUAGAGGAGCCUGUCCUGUAACCGAUACUCCCCGUUAAACCUCACCACUUUUAGUCUUCAGUCUGUAUACUUCCGUCGCCAGCUUACCGUGUGAGCGAAUAGUAAGCUAAAUGUUAGUGAUCAAUACGUCAGGUCAAAGUGCAGCAAAUAGAGUGGCAAGAGAUGGGCUACACUUUCUACUAUAGAAGAUACGAAAGACUUUAUGAAACACUGUCAGAAGGUGGAUUUAGUAGUAAGAUGAAGAUAGAGCAUUCGUCUUAAUUUGGCACUGGGGUGUGUACACACCGCCCGUCACCCUCUUCAACUAAACUCAAUAGUACUUAACAA